Long non-coding RNA from Erinaceus europaeus (western European hedgehog), 559 nucleotides. RefSeq lists it as uncharacterized. The record is from RefSeq and is a predicted model, not a curated record. NCBI's taxonomy places the organism in Eukaryota, Metazoa, Chordata, Mammalia, Eulipotyphla, Erinaceidae. The transcript has 3 exons.
CCUAUAGGGUUUCUGCUGCCACACAGGGAUUGUUUAGGUGUUUUUUUUUUUUUUUCCCUUCAGCAAAUCAUAGUACGAAAACUUCGAUUUGGAGGUGAACUUAGAGCCUUAAAGGGGAUCUGAGAGCUUGCAUUUUGGACUUUUCAGUAGGGCCAGCCACUCUGUUCUUGCACUCUUGAUUCCUCUGCGUGCUAUCAUGAACCCAUCUAUAUAUUCCCUCAUUAUUUCUCUGAGUUUGUCGACACCCUCAGUAGAUUUUCUCAACUCUGCGGAAAUCUCUAAGACCAUCAUUUCGAGCUCUUCUUCAGGAAGUUGAUACAGACCUGUUAAAGCUGGAGUUUUCGUCAAGCUGCUGUCUUGCUCCAACAAGGCAGGUGAAUAGCAUUGCCUUUCGGUUAUGUUUGAUGCUCCACGGGCACCGCUGAGACAAAAUUCAUUGGAAGCAGUGGAAUCAUGUAGGCAUGAAGCCUCAGUGGUAACCCUGGUGAAAAAAGAAGAAGAAGAAGAAGAAGCUUCAAAUCAUAUUUGGAACAUUGACUACCAUUUGUUAGCUUUUGGU